CCAGCAAUGCCAACAAUUGAUAUAACAUCAUAUGGUUGCCUGGACUUUUCAUUUGUCUUCAUAAGUAAAUUCUUUAAAUGUUUACCUUCAGUAACUCGUCCGAAAAACUUUGUGUCCCCCAGCAUAGAGGUUGUUGUGCGCCACUGAACUGGUUGCUCUGGUGUCCUGUUCUCUAGCUUCAGUAACUCCAACAGAGUUUUCAUCCGAUUAUCAAUCUCAUUAAAUAUAUUCACUACAACAGCUAACUUAGUGAGGUCUUCAUCUGAGAAAAGGAAGCGCUUGAGAGCAAGAAUGGAGCGUUUUACUGUUGAGUCACUGCUAAUGAUGCUGGAGGCAGUACCGAGGGUGGUUAUGGAGGAUGAUGAAGAGGAACACGAUGCAUAAGAAUCAGCUAUGGAAGAUGAAAUUGAGCUAGUGGUCACCUUGCCCAUGACUUCAACUUGAUUGGUCACGUUGUCCAUGACUUCAGCUUGAGUGGUCGCCUUGUCCAUAACUUCAGCUUGUGCUUCUAGAACUCGGUAAUCAAAUAAAUCCAGAACAUCUUCAGCCUGGACUUGCUCUCUCUGUGGUUUUGCCGCUUAAUCAUGAUGAAGCUGCUCCAUGCGUGUAAUCAGCAUUGACCAAUCUCAUUAUUGUGGAUGCAGAAUUGCAGAUCCCUCUAGACCAAUGACAGCUCGAUGAGGAAAUUACUUGGAACAUCCUAAAUAAUUGCAGGUAUUGUCUUCUGUACCUAGAACUCUAGAAGGGCCAUUCAUGACGCAAGAUUCUCCAUUUUUCUUGUUAUUUACUGCUUAGUGUAUUAACAACACAAGUAGAAGCAAAACGGUGUCUUGCAUCUUCUUGUUUAUUGUUUCAUGUCGUUUUCCAGGACCUUCCAUUUCUCUGCGUCGUUUUUCCUCUUAAAUACCAUGAAACUGCUCACAUAUAUCUUUGCUCCUCACCUGUCCUUU
Molecule: long non-coding RNA, 950 nt
Organism: Oryza brachyantha (malo sina)
Lineage: Eukaryota; Viridiplantae; Streptophyta; Magnoliopsida; Poales; Poaceae
Exons: 3
Source: RefSeq, a predicted model, not a curated record